UACGUAGGGGGCAAGCGUUGUCCGGAAUCAUUGGGCGUAAAGCGCGCGUAGGCGGCCCGAUCAGUCCGCUGUAAAAGUCCAGGGCUCAACCCUGGAAAGCCGGUGGAUACUGUCGGGCUAGAGUCCGGAAGAGGCGAGUGGAAUUCCUGGUGUAGCGGUGAAAUGCGCAGAUAUCAGGAAGAACACCUAUGGCGAAGGCAGCUCUCUGGGACGGUACUGACGCUGAGACGCGAAAGCGUGGGGAGCGAACAGG
RNAcentral lists this ribosomal RNA (253 nucleotides) under uncultured bacterium. RNAcentral describes it as "partial 16S ribosomal RNA". It matches the Rfam family "Bacterial small subunit ribosomal RNA", at positions 524 to 776 of the family's 1533-position model. The record is from RNAcentral.